Scylla paramamosain (green mud crab) is the source of this 728-nucleotide long non-coding RNA. RefSeq lists it as uncharacterized. The transcript is spliced from 3 exons. NCBI's taxonomy places the organism in Eukaryota, Metazoa, Arthropoda, Malacostraca, Decapoda, Portunidae. The record is from RefSeq and is a predicted model, not a curated record.
AAGACCCACCGACCGGUAGUUCACUUCCAGAUUCUGAAGAGACGGGGGCAGACAUCACUGGAGGUAUUGGUUAACCAGUUUGUCCUUACCCAAGGUAUUCUAGAAGGUUUUCCAGGCCUGGUACGAUCCAGUGACGGUUGUGUGUGUAAGGAGAUGCAGGAACAAAAUGGGAUAUUCUAAGGCUAGCCCAAAGAUCCCGUCAGUGAAGGUGAAACGUUGCAAGAAAUGGUGAAGAAAAGAAAAAAAACUCAUCCACGUGGCUGAGGUGAGGGCAGCGGCCCCUCCCAGCGCCCCACGCCUCUAACAAUGCGUGCCCUCCUGUGAUGGGGACGUGAGCAGUGGAAGAGCCCCAGAUUCUCCCAAACGCGAAUAGGCGGGGCGUCUCACCAUGGUCACCUUGUACCUGACAGUGGCACAAUUUCUCCACAUACCUCGACUUCAUUACUUACUCCGCUGGGUGCUGAAGGUAAAGAGCUACGCGAGUUUGCUUGAAGUCAGACCCCACGAAACGAGCUGGGGAAGGGUGUGCGUGGUAACCUAGGGCCCCCAUGAUUUAUUGUAGAAGAGGACCGAUGAUAAGGUUCCGGAAGAAAGGGGUCGAUGAAGAGAGAACAGGUGUAGAGGUCUCUAUUGAAUGUGCUGAUCCCCCCCCCCGCAAUGCUGGGAAGGAUGUGUACACACCUGUAAUGAGCAACCUAAUCUUAAUACAACUCAUUUUAAGAGGGAAA